GUGUUUGCGGGCGUGGCAUCAUCAAGAUUCACGACCUUGCUAUCUUCACUGAUGGCUUUCAAGGGAUUGAGAAUCUUGAUGAUGCUGCAUCCGCAGACAA
This 100-nucleotide microRNA precursor is filed under the name Phalaenopsis hybrid cultivar. RNAcentral describes it as "miR172-1". It matches the Rfam family "mir-172 microRNA precursor family". Rfam says of the family: mir-172 has been experimentally verified in Arabidopsis thaliana. This family is thought to target mRNAs coding for APETALA2-like transcription factors. The mature sequence is excised from the 3' arm of the hairpin. RNAcentral also lists the same sequence under 1 other name. Lineage: Eukaryota; Viridiplantae; Streptophyta; Magnoliopsida; Asparagales; Orchidaceae. The record is from RNAcentral.